AGUGAACGCUGGCGGUAGGCCUAACACAUGCAAGUCGAACGGCAGCACAGUAAGGGCUUGCUCUUACGGGUGGCGAGUGGCGGACGGGUGAGGAAUACAUCGGAAUCUACUUUUUCGUGGGGGAUAACGUAGGGAAACUUACGCUAAUACCGCAUACGACCUACGGGUGAAAGCAGGGGAUCUUCGGACCUUGCGCGAUUGAAUGAGCCGAUGUCGGAUUAGCUAGUUGGCGGGGUAAAGGCCCACCAAGGCGACGAUCCGUAGCUGGUCUGAGAGGAUGAUCAGCCACACUGGAACUGAGGCACGGUCCAGGCUCCUACGGGAGGCAGCAGUGGGAAAUAUUGGACAAUGGGCGCAAGCCUGAUCCAGCCAUACCGCGUGGGUGAAGAAGGCCUUCGGGUUGUAAAGCCCUUUUGUUGGGAAAGAAAAGCAGCAGGUUAAUACCCCGCUGUUCUGACGGUACCCAAAGAAUAAGCACCGGCUAACUUCGU
This 491-nucleotide ribosomal RNA is filed under the name uncultured bacterium. RNAcentral's name for it is "partial 16S ribosomal RNA". It matches the Rfam family "Bacterial small subunit ribosomal RNA", at positions 29 to 506 of the family's 1533-position model. The record is from RNAcentral.